AAAGAGUUAUGAACCAAAUUAUUUUUUAAAGAUACAUGUGGGCUAAACUCUAAAACUAUAUCACCUCCUAGGUCUAGACAAUGGAAUCAUCUCCCACUGGACAAGGUGAAUAUCCAGUUCUCUUAAAUCAUUUAAGAUGAAUCUGGACAAAACACCAGAGAACAUCUAUCAUCACCGGGACUUACGACUGGACAAAGUUUCCGUCAAUGAAACUUAAGGAGAAUGGCCAGAUGACUACAAUCAAAUAUACAUCACGAAGGAAGACUGAGGAAAACAAGAAGUUGGAAAAAAAAGAGGGGGAGGAGGAGGACCUUAGGAAAGAGGCAUUCCCCUCCCCACCCCCUGCCCUGUAAAGAGGGAUAUAAUCAAAAGAGACAGAAUUACCACCAGCAGGAAGGCAGUAUGGUGUCGAGGAAAAAACUGGAGCUCUGGAGUCAAGAGAUGUGAAUCUGAGUCCCCCACUUCAUCCUUACUGAUUGUGUGACCCUGGGCAAAUAAGUCAUUUUUUGUCACUGAGCCUCCAUUUUUUUGUUUUUUGUUUGUUUUUUUUUGUUUUUUUUUUUUGUUUGUU
This 571-nucleotide long non-coding RNA is filed under the name Phascolarctos cinereus (koala). RNAcentral describes it as "lncRNA (ENSPCIG00000006332.2)". Lineage: Eukaryota; Metazoa; Chordata; Mammalia; Diprotodontia; Phascolarctidae. The record is from RNAcentral.